UGGGGAAUUUUGGACAAUGGGCGAAAGCCUGAUCCAGCAAUGCCGCGUGUGUGAAGAAGGCCUUCGGGUUGUAAAGCACUUUUGUCCGGAAAGAAAUGGCUCUGGUUAAUACCUGGGGUCGAUGACGGUACCGGAAGAAUAAGGACCGGCUAACUACGUGCCAGCAGCCGCGGUAAUACGUAGGGUCCAAGCGUUAAUCGGAAUUACUGGGCGUAAAGCGUGCGCAGGCGGUUGUGCAAGACCGAUGUGAAAUCCCCGAGCUUAACUUGGGAAUUGCAUUGGUGACUGCACGGCUAGAGUGUGUCAGAGGGGGGUAGAAUUCCACGUGUAGCAGUGAAAUGCGUAGAGAUGUGGAGGAAUACCGAUGGCGAAGGCAGCCCCCUGGGAUAACACUGACGCUCAUGCACGAAAGCGUGGGGAGCAAAACAGGAUUAGAUACCCUGGUAGUCCACGCCCUAAAACGAUGUCAACUAGUUGUUGGGGAUUCAUUUCCUUAGUAACGUAGCUAACGCGUGAAGUU
This 520-nucleotide ribosomal RNA is filed under the name uncultured bacterium. RNAcentral describes it as "partial 16S ribosomal RNA". It matches the Rfam family "Bacterial small subunit ribosomal RNA", at positions 355 to 866 of the family's 1533-position model. The record is from RNAcentral.